This 440-nucleotide ribosomal RNA is filed under the name uncultured bacterium. RNAcentral's name for it is "partial 16S ribosomal RNA". It matches the Rfam family "Bacterial small subunit ribosomal RNA", at positions 338 to 795 of the family's 1533-position model. The record is from RNAcentral.
CCUACGGGGGGCAGCAGUAGGGAAUAUUGCUCAAUGGGGGAAACCCUGAAGCAGCAACGCCGCGUGGAGGAUGAAGGUUUUCGGAUUGUAAACUCCUUUUGUUAGAGAAGAUAAUGACGGUAUCUAACGAAUAAGCACCGGCUAACUACGUGCAAGCAGCCGCGGUAAUACGGAGGGUGCAAGCGUUACUCGGAAUAACUGGGCGGAAAGAGCGCGUAGGCGGGAUAGCAAGUCAGAUGUGAAAUCCUAUGGCUUAACCAUAGAACUGCAUUUGAAACUGUUAUUCUAGAGUAUGGGAGAGGUAGGUGGAAUUCUUGGUGUAGGGGUAAAAUCCGUAGAGAUCAAGAGGAAUACUCAUUGCGAAGGCGACCUGCUAGAACAUAACUGACGCUGAUGCGCGAAAGCGUGGGGAGCAAACAGGAUUAGAUACCCGAGUAGUC